This 397-nucleotide long non-coding RNA is filed under the name Prunus persica (peach). RNAcentral's name for it is "long non-coding RNA (PPER_LNC007770)". Lineage: Eukaryota; Viridiplantae; Streptophyta; Magnoliopsida; Rosales; Rosaceae. The record is from RNAcentral.
UAGAGUUGAAAGUCUUACAUUAGCAUUGUGGGCAAAACUAGGUGUGACAAACGAGUGCGUAGCCCCAGGGUCAAUCAUAAUUCUAGCAGGGAUUCCAAAGACCGGUAACAUUCCUGUAAUUACAUGAGGUGAUGUAUGUGCCUCCUGCUGGGACAUAUUGUACACUCUGCCUGUGGCCCUGGAACGUCCACCACGUCCCCUUUGCUGACUGCUGCCUCGGUUGGCUACACUGGUUUGGGCCCCACCACUGGACGAAGCCUCCACAAACUGUGGUGUCCUCUGUGAUCUACCUUGAAUACCUGUCCCCGGAGUCGAUGCAGUUGUGGUCUCUCUAUUCUGAAGGAGCAGCGGGCAAUCCUUCCUAAAAUGUCCAGACUGUCCACAAUAAUAACAUCCA